RNAcentral lists this ribosomal RNA (492 nucleotides) under uncultured bacterium. Its description in RNAcentral is "partial 16S ribosomal RNA". It matches the Rfam family "Bacterial small subunit ribosomal RNA", at positions 29 to 507 of the family's 1533-position model. The record is from RNAcentral.
AGUGAACGCUGGCGGUAGGCCUAACACAUGCAAGUCGAACGGCAGCACAGUAAGAGCUUGCUCUUACGGGUGGCGAGUGGCGGACGGGUGAGGAAUACAUCGGAAUCUACUUUUUCGUGGGGGAUAACGUAGGGAAACUUACGCUAAUACCGCAUACGACCUACGGGUGAAAGCAGGGGAUCUUCGGACCUUGCGCGAUUGAAUGAGCCGAUGUCGGAUUAGCUAGUUGGCGGGGCAAAGGCCCACCAAGGCGGCGAUCCGUAGCUGGUCUGAGAGGAUGAUCGGCCACACUGGAACUGAGACACGGUCCAGACUCCUACGGGAGGCAGCAGUGGGGAAUAUUAGGCAAUGGGCGCAAGCCUGAUCCAGCCAUACCGCGUGGGUGAAGAAGGCCUUCGGGUUGUAAAGCCCUUUUGUUGGGAAAGAAAAGCAGCAGGUUAAUACCCCGCUGUUCUGACGGUACCCAAAGAAUAAGCACCGGCUAACUUCGUG